AUUGAACGCUGGCGGCAUGCCUUACACAUGCAAGUCGAACGGUAACGGGCCUUCGGGUGCCGACGAGUGGCGGACGGGUGAGUAAUACAUCGGAACGUGCCCGAUCGUGGGGGAUAACGAGGCGAAAGCUUUGCUAAUACCGCAUACGAUCUACGGAUGAAAGCAGGGGACCGCAAGGCCUUGCGCGGGCGGAGCGGCCGAUGGCAGAUUAGGUAGUUGGUGGGAUAAAAGCUUACCAAGCCGACGAUCUGUAGCUGGUCUGAGAGGAUGAUCAGCCACACUGGGACUGAGACACGGCCCAGACUCCUACGGGAGGCAGCAGUGGGGAAUUUUGGACAAUGGGCGCAAGCCUGAUCCAGCCAUGCCGCGUGCAGGAUGAAGGCCUUCGGGUUGUAAACUGCUUUUGUACGGAACGAAAAGCCUUCUUUUAAUACAGGAGGGUCAUGACGGUACCGUAAGAAUAAGCACCGGCCAACUACGUG
This 482-nucleotide ribosomal RNA is filed under the name uncultured bacterium. RNAcentral describes it as "partial 16S ribosomal RNA". It matches the Rfam family "Bacterial small subunit ribosomal RNA", at positions 30 to 507 of the family's 1533-position model. The record is from RNAcentral.